This 253-nucleotide ribosomal RNA is filed under the name uncultured bacterium. RNAcentral's name for it is "partial 16S ribosomal RNA". It matches the Rfam family "Bacterial small subunit ribosomal RNA", at positions 524 to 776 of the family's 1533-position model. The record is from RNAcentral.
UACGUAGGCAGCAAACGUUGUUCGGAGUUACUGGGCGUAAAGAGUUCGUAGGCGGCAUGACAAGUCGGGUGUGAAAGCCCUCGGCUCAACCGAGGAAUUGCGCUCUAAACUGUCGUGCUAGAGGAACCUAGAGGUGAGCAGAACUGAUGGUGGAGCGGUGAAAUGCGUUGAUAUCAGGAGGAACACCGGUGGCGAAGGCGGGUCUCUGGGCCGUAACUGACGCUGAGGAGCGAAAGCGUGGGGAGCGAACAGG